GCUUUCUUCAGGCGGCGACCGGCGCACGGGUGAGUAACGCGUAUCGAACCUGCCUCAUACUCAGGAAUAGCCUUGCGAAAGUAAGAUUAAUGCCCGAUGUUAUUAGGAUAUCACAUGAUGUUUUAAUUAAAGAUUUAUCGGUAUGAGAUGGCGAUGCGUCCCAUUAGCUUGUUGGCGGGGUAACGGCCCACCAAGGCAUCGAUGGGUAGGGGUUCUGAGAGGAAGGUCCCCCACAUUGGAACUGAGACACGGUCCAAACUCCUACGGGAGGCAGCAGUGAGGAAUAUUGGUCAAUGGACGCAAGCCUGAACCAGCCAAGUAGCGUGCAGGAAGACGGCCCUCUGGGUUGUAAACUGCUUUUAGUUGGGAAUAAAGUGCACCACGCGUGGUGUUUUGUAUGUACCAUCAGAAAAAGGACCGGCUAAUUCCGUGCCAGCAGCCGCGGUAAUACGGAAGGUCCAGGCGUUAUCCGGAUUUAUUGGGUUUAAAGGGAGCGCAGGCGGACCUUUAAGUCAGCUGUGAAAUACGGCGGCUCAACCGUCGAACUGCAGUUGAUACUGGAGGUCUUGAGUGCACACAGGGAUACUGGAAUUCAUGGUGUAGCGGUGAAAUGCUCAGAUAUCAUGAAGAACUCCGAUCGCGAAGGCAGGUAUCCGGGGUGCAACUGACGCUGAGGCUCGAAAGUGCGGGUAUCAAACAGGAUUAGAUACCCUGGUAGUCCGCA
RNAcentral lists this ribosomal RNA (724 nucleotides) under uncultured Bacteroidota bacterium. RNAcentral's name for it is "bacterial SSU rRNA". It matches the Rfam family "Bacterial small subunit ribosomal RNA", at positions 73 to 799 of the family's 1533-position model. Lineage: Bacteria; Pseudomonadati; Bacteroidota. The record is from RNAcentral.